GGGAGCUGCUUACCGUUGGGGGCGGCGGGAGUUCUUCUGUAACCGCACACAUCCCUCGGAGCCUCCAGCCCAACCAACAGGGCAGGCGUUGGAGGCUUGAGGGACUGUGUGGGGGGACAUUCCAGGGGCUCCCGCCAUCGCAAACAGAGUCAAACUCCAUCCAGGGCUUGGUCCAAGUGUUGGUUAAGAUCGAGGCCAGUGACUCUCUGACUGCUAAGUGAUCUCAGGCAGGAUACUGAAUCUCUCUGAGCCUUUGUCUUUGCCCUGUCCUCUCUCUCUAGAGUGUUGGAUUAAAGCAGGAAGGGAGCCCAAACCAGGUGCUGGUCAGAGCCCGGAGCAGACACAAGAUGGAGACACGUUUGGGCUUCUUGAAGGUGCAUCAUUAUUAGGAAGGCAGCUGGGCCCCUGACCCCCACAUGAAGAGACCCCAGAAGGACUGUAGGAGGACUGCUCUCUGUCCAUGACCCUCCAGGAGUCUCCAGAGUCCAAUCACUGGCAGCGUGGCUGUGCCUGAGCCCUGCCACCCCGCUCUGUUCCUCAUUCGGCCAGCCAGGUGGACACACAGAAAAACAGCUCCUAUGGUUGUAAUGUAAUUGGGUGCACACAUAAAUUUCGCCAACAAUUGGUGGCAGAAACAGUC
Mastomys coucha (southern multimammate mouse) is the source of this 640-nucleotide long non-coding RNA. RefSeq lists it as uncharacterized. The record is from RefSeq and is a predicted model, not a curated record. Lineage: Eukaryota; Metazoa; Chordata; Mammalia; Rodentia; Muridae. The transcript is spliced from 2 exons.